Onychostoma macrolepis is the source of this 179-nucleotide long non-coding RNA. RefSeq lists it as uncharacterized. The transcript is spliced from 3 exons. NCBI's taxonomy places the organism in Eukaryota, Metazoa, Chordata, Actinopteri, Cypriniformes, Cyprinidae. The record is from RefSeq and is a predicted model, not a curated record.
GGUGAAGGUGCAGUUGGAGAUCUGAGAAUCAAUGUAUUUUCCUCUGAAUUGAUAUUCUCUUCAUUUCUGCUGAUUUGAAUGGUAUUUGAACCAUGGAUCAAAAUAUGUCUGCAAUGUCAGAAAGCAGUAAGAUCUCAUCUAACUCAAGGCGCUGGAUCACAGAAUCAGGGAUCUCAGGU